GCCCAGGUUUUGCCUCUACUUUCUAAAAUUUGAAUUCUGAGCAAAAGAAAAACUGAUUUUAAGAAUCUAGCUUUAUUUAUUGCUCACAGGGUCACAAUAAACUGGUAAAACUUGUGUACCAACAACUUAUUAGUUUUUAAGAAUAUGAUAAAAACUGACCCCGACAAACUAUACAGAAACUAGCUUGUUUGAAUCUUACCUAGUUUUCAAAAGCUAAGUUUUCUUACUAAAAACUAGAGGGAUCCAAACAAGACCUUAGUAUGAUGCGUGAUGAUAGAAUAAUUAUCCAUACAUUGAUACAUAAUUUCAUUCAGAUCUCAGCAGCUACUCCUUGCUGUGGCAGAGAUGCAUGCAUGGAACUGUGAGUUGUGACUGUGAGAUCGAGGAGGGAGGAGGGUGCUGGUUUUGGCAGAAAGCCAAGUGGCGUGGUGGCUUUUGCCUUUUUGGUCUGCAGGCAGGGGAGAGAGAGAGGCAGAGGCGACUCUCUUUCUGGAAACAUGAUGGUGUCCUGUGCAGUCGAGCAGCCUAGUACGAGUAGCCCUGUGCGCGGGGAAUAUUUGGUGGCGUCAGCCUACGUCACGCACGCGGGUGCAGCUGCAGCAGACGACCGAAGGGUGCCUCCGCUUUUGUCAGUCCCACUACCACGACUGCCCCUAAUUUUUUAUUUUUUGGGCUUUUUUUUUGAAAAAUUUUUUACGUUUAGCCCCUUCUGGAACUUAAACUCAUAUUUGGACCCAGUGGUUCGGCGCCAGGACUCGUGGCUCCGAGGUUACACAGCUCGGCGCCCCAGAUCUUGGCUCCGAGUUGGUUACUCGCGUACAACCUGACAUCCUACGUGGCGUUGACGUGGCUGGUAGCUCGGCGCCACAGAUCUUGGCGCCGAGCUCGGAGCCACAGAUCUGGGCGCCGAGCUAGGAGCCACUUAGACCCCAGCGCCCGUGAAUCCUUCUCUGGCGCCCGUGACCGAAAGAAAUUUUGCUGUCCAAGCCGUCGUC
RNAcentral lists this long non-coding RNA (995 nucleotides) under Sorghum bicolor (sorghum). RNAcentral's name for it is "long non-coding RNA (SBIC_LNC003989)". Lineage: Eukaryota; Viridiplantae; Streptophyta; Magnoliopsida; Poales; Poaceae. The record is from RNAcentral.